RNAcentral lists this long non-coding RNA (4834 nucleotides) under Cotesia glomerata. RNAcentral describes it as "uncharacterized LOC123262871". The record is from RNAcentral. Lineage: Eukaryota; Metazoa; Arthropoda; Insecta; Hymenoptera; Braconidae.
UUUUUAAUUAAAAAAAAACAAACAUACAAUGAAGUUGAACAAAUAAUUUAUUGAUGCAUGCUUAAUAUUCAUUAACUAUUAAUUCCAUAAAUCCUUUUCAGUAAAUGGCACUCAUCCUCAAAUUGUUAUUGCAUAAGAAAAGAUACAUCGGUCUUGAAAAAAUUCCGGGCACUUGCUGAUCAUCUCUAUCGGUAAUAACUACACAAAAUGAAAACACUAAGAUAAUCGGGUGAGGUUUUAAUUUGCGCCUAUUGAUUGAUUGUAAGGGGAAAAAAAAAACAAAAUCGGGGGGAGGAAAAUUAUGUGUUUUUUAGAAGGCCAACUGAGUAACCAGCCCGCAUGAACUACACCAAUCACUCUUCGCACCCUCACUUGCUUCACCAAAUUACAACGAUCGUUCGCGAGAGCCAUCACGUUUGCCAUGGCAACAAUGAGAUCCGGAUAAUAAUUAAGGCGGUGAGCUUUUUUUAUGUAACAAAAAUCCCAGAUAAAAGUAUUUUCUCAGGUUUUGGAAAAUCCAGGCGAAGUUAGAUUUCUUAUAAAUAAUAUAAAUGGGUAAAGUCAACUUUGGGCCGUCGUACGUAUUCUGCUUUGAUGAUGCCGCUGUUACAAAAAACGAUCGUCACCACAGUCGAGGGCGUAGAGCACAUGCAAAUAAUGAUAUAAAAAGUAUGCAGGUACUUGACAAUUAAGUGCAUGAUCUAUUAGAAAAAAUUUCUAAUAAGAUAAAAUUUUCAUAUUGUUUUUUUGAUAAAAAAAAACAUGAUAUAUUUUUGCGUAUGUAAAGUAAUAUUAUAAAAAAUAAUUUGCCAACGUGAGCAACCGUAAUGCUCGGCAACCGAAUAACCCGUAUUUUCACAGAUAUUGAAGCACCUUGAUAGUACUCGAUCCAGGAAGAACGGGCUUAGCAAAAGUACCAGGCCGCGAACACUUGUUCUCAUUAUGAAGAACCAAGUAUAGGAGACAAUAACGGCAUAAUCGAAUUUGUUGGAGUAGUAAAAUAAAGGUUAAUUAAGUAUGAAGAGAGGAAGGUCGUAAAUAUUAACAGAUAUUAUUCUAUAAAUAAUGACAUAAAACUUUACUACUUUGAGUUGUAAAAAUUAUUAUUGGGUUGGGGAAAUGGGAUGUAUAAGAAACAGUCAUUUUCGCUUCAGAGUCAUAAGGUAGAGAUGUCCGGCCACCAAUUUUAACACUCAAGUCCUCAGUUGAAGAUGGCAACCCGAGAAAACGAGAUAAAUGGUGACGUAAGAUCUAAGAUCUAAUUUAUUUAUUUUUUAUUUUCGGGGUGGGUUGGGAGAAACGAAAGUAUGAUUUUAAGUCGCAGGAAACUACUAGAACACACACGAAAAAAGCGGAGAAAGUAAACAUGUGAGAAGAGAAAGUCAAUAUUACGAGUUUUAUCAGAAAAAUACCAUAUUACAUCUGGAUUCAGGUAUCAUUCAUUUAUCAUUCGAACAAAUAUCGCGUUUUUUUUUUGUUUUUUAUUGUGCAGAUAAGGACGAGUAUAUCCGAGAAACCAGAGAGUAUCGAGCCAAAAAAAUUUAGAUCAGGAAUCAUAAGAAAUGGAACAAACCAUUAAUUUAAUAUCAUAUAUAUGUUGUAUUUAUAUUUAAAAAAAAAAAAAAAAAAAAAACCCAAAACGCAAAACGCAACGUGAUAGAAGGAGGAUAAAACAUCAUUGAAUUAUUUAAGCUUCAGAAAUACUUAACGCAACGGCUGAAAAAGUAAUCAAUAAUAAAGCUUAGUGGAUUUAAAAGCUUAUUACGGUCAUUCCAGAGUAUAGAGGUAAAAAGUGAAAUUUCAUCUUUAGAUCUUGUCUUCUUCCCAACUUUAUUUAUUUUCUUACACAAUUUUAUUUUUAUACGCGAAAUGAUUAUGUUUUUUGUGAGGGAGGUAGCGAUUUGUCUUAUAGCACAGAAAACGUAGAAGAAUAAAUUAACUUUGUUUGAAACAAAAAACAGCAGUAGCCAAGACAUAUAAAUGGAAUAUUUAUAAAACGAAAUUAACGGAAAGAGGAAGUAGCAAUGAAGAAUAUAAAAAAAAUUCUUAAUUUAUUUAGUAAAUUUAACAAUUGAGACCAAAAACAACCGUUGACGAUCGAAUAAAAUAUGAAUAAAAAAUUAAAAAGGUUCCCCUUGGAAAUUGAUAGCAACUUUCAGACGUAACGUUUAAUCCGUAAAAUACAGAAAAAAAAUUUAAUACGCCUUGACCGACUGGCUUUUGCAAACCAUUUAAAAGAAUCUAGCGAAGUUUAAAUAAUCUGGAAAUUUUUUUAUAGCAAGAAAGGCUUUUAUUGAAAUGAGAAUUAAUUACUUCCUAUUAGUAUCGAGAAUGGAUUUUGCAUCUUAAACUAGAAUUAUGCAUCCCUUCACAUGAAAAAUUUGAUUCAUCUACCAAAAAAAAAAAAACUUUUAUUGUGUAUUACCAUUACAACUGCCAUAACUUCCUACUUCUGUUGGCGUUUUUGUGGAUUGUUAUAAAACGAGCGUUAGUUUUAACGUGUUUUUAUUUCUAUUUAAAUCGUGUUAAUAAUUUUUUUGUGAAGUUGAGUUUGUUUAAAUUGCAAAAUGUUUAUCAUAUUAUGUUUUAAAGUUUUGUGAACAAACUUCUUACUUCGUUUUUGUUUACUUAUGUAUUUAUUUACAAUAAUUUGUUGUACACACAAGUAGCGCAUAAAAAUUUAAAUAGUUGUGUAGUGCGGUCACUGUUAAUUACGUGCAAGUUUUGAAUAAUUUAAUUAUGAAGUUUAUAAUUGUUACAUAUAUUCAUCACAUUAUGUAAUUUUGCUGCAAUGCUAAUAUCUGCUGGUAAUGAGCCUAUAUUUAUUAUUAUGUGUUAUGCGAAUGUUUGUAAACACAUUUAGGGUGAAUUGUUUAAAAUGCUGUAAAAAUAAUAUUGUCCUUAUACUCACUUAAUCAAAAAAUUAAUUGACAGUUUUUUCACACUGCUCGUAUUGUGAUUGGAUAAAAAAUAAUUAUAUAAAAGUAAUCAUUUUCCUUGUUUGAAUGUUAAAAAGUUCUAUAUAUGGUGUAAAAUUAGAAUCGUGGCUUUAUCUAUAUUUGUUGCUAGAACUAUCGGUGAGUUAUUUAUAAUCAUUUAUAAUUAGAAUUGUAAUUUUUAUUAUUAAUCUCUUUUUAUGAAAAUAUUUUCUUAAUUAACGUUUACGUAGCUCCGCAGUUAACACAUUGUUUCUUUGUAUAAUAUUGUUCACACAUAAAAAAAUUAAUUAAUGCAUUGUUCUGCUGACAAUUGUAAAUGUUAGGUACUUAAUACUGAAUAAGUAUUUUAGUACCCGCGACACGCUUUUAUAAUAAUAAAUUGAUAUUUUAUUGGUGGGUUGGGGCUGGGGGUCUACUAAUUAUUUUACGAGUUCCAAAGUAUUUUCAGAACCAUACUCAUUUAAGUGAUUAAUAUUUAGAUAUAUUAUUAUUACUCCUGUUUUGUGAUGCCAUUAUUACUUGUUCGUUGAAAAAAAAAAAAAAAAAAAAAAAAAACUGCAGCAGUUAUUACCAUCUAUAUAUAUAUAAACUGCCUUCGUAUUACGCAGAGCACAGCAUUGGAUUACGCUAAUGUAACGUUUUUUGGGCCACCUACUAUGUUGAUAUCUAUUUACAAUUACUUACUAUACCUAGGCAUGCAAACUGGCUGUUGCUCUUUUUUGUAAUUUUUAAAUACUUGUAAUUAAAUACGCCUAUCACGAUAAACCAUUCGUCCGCUUGGAGAAGAUUGGCACUGCAUAUAAUUAAUGAUGAGUAUUAGGCAAUUUAAAGUAUUUAAUAUAUUUUCAAAAAUUAAUUAUUGAUUGAACAAAAAAAAUCAAAAACAGGUACGCACUUUAGAUUCUUCCUUUUAAUGUAUUUUAAUUAAUUUUGCACAAAUGGAUAUGUUAGCAUAUGUGGUGCAUUGAAAAGCAAAUUGACUUGGCUAUUAAAUUAGGAUAGGAUCAGAAGAUAAUGUUAUUACUUUUAUUAACAAGAAACCAACUAUUGAAGAUGAGUGACCAUACUAAGCGAUCCAUUUUCUUACGUAUUUUGAAGAUUAUUACUUACAACCGAAGAGUAUACUAGAAAUUCAAAAGAUGAUCAUUUUUGUAGAAGAUAAUACUUAAAAUUAUUUUUCUUAUUAUUAUUAUUAUUGCAUUUUAAAAACUGUGUGUUAGUAUGAUAUAAUGCUUAUGAACAUACGUGAGUUGAAUAUUUCCUUUUAUAUCCCAUUAGUUUUCCUGCUAACCGAGUGUUUUUAGAAAACUACUUGGAGACUGACUUCUAAAACAGUUUGAGACAUGAGGAUGGUGAUGGUUGGACGGUGAUAAGCAGACCUGGCUGAGAGGUUUGGUCGUGAGCUAGCACAGUUGGGCGUUCGUUCAUUCUUCAUCUCAUCCCGAUGGUCUUCGGAGUCCAGCCAUCGUCUUAGAUAGGGCAUAGAAUUCACAUCCGAGUUCAUCGCCCGGUUGCGGUCUGACUCCCAGCAGCAGAUCUUCCGGAAUUGCGGCGUGAUAACGGCAUCAGACACACUCGCAUGGGUUUCCUUGGCGGUUUGAGACUCUCUUGUCGACGGGACACGCGUUACCUGGGGCUUAUUUCGUACACCCGAGCACACCUGAACGCACACGGUCGAGACGGUCUUGGUGAUAGUUCAAUAGACGAAAGGGUUAAGGAUUUUCUUUGAGCAGGAAUCUGACUGGGGCAUCCGGAUGAAUGCAGAGUUCCAGCUAAAACGUAUCUUCUUUUUAUUUUUUUAAAUAUGAUUAUACAUAUUGGACUCGCAAUCACUUAUUUCGAGGAUUAUUUUUUUAACAAUUUCAUUUUAUGUUUGUUUUUUUGUUAUCUAACAU